This 273-nucleotide ribosomal RNA is filed under the name uncultured bacterium. RNAcentral's name for it is "partial 16S ribosomal RNA". It matches the Rfam family "Bacterial small subunit ribosomal RNA", at positions 333 to 598 of the family's 1533-position model. The record is from RNAcentral.
CCAUACCUACGGGGGGCAGCAGUAGGGAAUCUUCCACAAUGGACGAAAGUCUGAUGGAGCAACGCCGCGUGAGUGAAGAAGGGUUUCGGCUCGUAAAGCUCUGUUGGUAGUGAAGAAAGAUAGAGGUAGUAACUGGCCUUUAUUUGACGGUAAUUACUUAGAAAGUCACGGCUAAAUACGUGCCAGCAGCCGCGGUAAUACGUAGGUGGCAAGCGUUGUCCGGGUUUAUUGGGCGUAAAGCGAGUGCAGGCGGUUCAAUAAGGGUGAUGUGAA